This 22-nucleotide microRNA is filed under the name Drosophila melanogaster (fruit fly). RNAcentral's name for it is "dme-miR-995-5p". Its record names the gene dme-miR-995-5p. Lineage: Eukaryota; Metazoa; Arthropoda; Insecta; Diptera; Drosophilidae. The record is from miRBase by way of RNAcentral.
CCCGAAUUAUGUGGGAGCUGCG